RNAcentral lists this ribosomal RNA (477 nucleotides) under Bacillus sp. iCTE666. RNAcentral's name for it is "bacterial SSU rRNA". It matches the Rfam family "Bacterial small subunit ribosomal RNA", at positions 8 to 480 of the family's 1533-position model. Lineage: Bacteria; Bacillati; Bacillota; Bacilli; Caryophanales; Bacillaceae. The record is from RNAcentral.
AGAGUUUGAUCCUGGCUCAGGACGAACGCUGGCGGCGUGCCUAAUACAUGCAAGUCGAGCGGACAGAAGGGAGCUUGCUCCCGGAUGUUAGCGGCGGACGGGUGAGUAACACGUGGGUAACCUGCCUGUAAGACUGGGAUAACUCCGGGAAACCGGAGCUAAUACCGGAUAGUUCCUUGAACCGCAUGGUUCAAGGAUGAAAGACGGUUUCGGCUGUCACUUACAGAUGGACCCGCGGCGCAUUAGCUAGUUGGUGGGGUAAUGGCUCACCAAGGCGACGAUGCGUAGCCGACCUGAGAGGGUGAUCGGCCACACUGGGACUGAGACACGGCCCAGACUCCUACGGGAGGCAGCAGUAGGGAAUCUUCCGCAAUGGACGAAAGUCUGACGGAGCAACGCCGCGUGAGUGAUGAAGGUUUUCGGAUCGUAAAGCUCUGUUGUAGGGAAGAACAAGUGCGAGAGUAACUGCUCGCACCU